RNAcentral lists this ribosomal RNA (400 nucleotides) under uncultured bacterium. RNAcentral's name for it is "bacterial SSU rRNA". It matches the Rfam family "Bacterial small subunit ribosomal RNA", at positions 355 to 747 of the family's 1533-position model. The record is from RNAcentral.
UGGGGAAUUUUGGACAAUGGGGGCAACCCUGAUCCAGCAAUGCCGCGUGUGCGAAGAAGGCCUUCGGGUUGUAAAGCACUUUUGUCCGGGAAGAAAUCGUAGAUGUGAAUAAUGUUUAUGGAUGACGGUACUGGAAGAAUAAGCACCGGCUAACUACGUGCCAGCAGCCGCGGUAAUACGUAGGGUGCGAGCGUUAAUCGGAAUUACUGGGCGUAAAGCGUGCGCAGGCGGUUUUGUAAGCUUGAUGUGAAAUCCCCGGGCUUAACCUGGGAACUGCAUUGAGGACUGCAAGGCUAGAGUGCGUCAGAGGGGGGUAGAAUUCCACGUGUAGCAGUGAAAUGCGUAGAGAUGUGGAGGAAUACCGAUGGCGAAGGCAGCCCCCUGGGAUGACACUGACGCU